AACAAUAUAUAAGCCACCGAUAUUAUUUCUCAAAGGUUUCAACGCUUCCUCCGAUUGGCGGCGUUAAUCACCACUCACUCACCGAGUCACAAAUCAAUCCAACUCGUACGGAUCUACUCAUCUCAUCUCCCCUUAUCUCAUGGCCGGCGAUCACGACGAGCCUUCCGGCGUCAAACACGGGCGCAAUUCCGAUACUGAUUCGGAGCAGCCGUCGAAGCGCCACCGUCGCCAUCACCAUCGCCGCCACAGGCACCGACGGAGUCGUAAUUACUCCGAAAAAGAAGCCGAAAUCGAAGAGAAAGCUGAAUCGCCGGUGAAGAUAGGUCCGGUAGAUGAUGAGGUGGAAGAAGGUGAGAUUCUCGAGGAAGACGAGGAGUUUGUUGCGGAGAAGAGGCGAUUGGAGUCGUCUGACGUGGAGUCUGGUGAAAUUAAGGGUUUCGAUGCUGAUCGGGAUCAGGAGGCACUUCGAGAACUUGGUGGUUCUACUUGUGAAGGUCAAAACAUUGAAAAAGUUGGCAGUCGUUUCAUGAUGUUAGGAGUGGAUGAAGUUGCUGUUGGUGACGGUGCUGUUGCAGCAUUAAGUAAAAGGACUAUUAAUGGCAAGACUAAAAUGUGUGAUGAGAUUGAUGUGCAAAGAGAUUCAAGUGUUGAACGUUAUGGCAGCGUUGAUAUUAGCAAGGAGAGAUGCAGCAAAUCUCCACGAUCUUCAUCUCCUGAAGGAUUGGGAAAGCGGAAGGGAUACUACGUAGGUGAUAGUGAACGUAGAAGACGAAAAAUGUUUUCCAGUGUAGAUGAAGGGGAUAGGCAUAUGUUUACGGGAAGGCCAGCCUUGCCUGGAAGAUUUCGCGAAGAGGAUCGCCGUAGCAGUAGAUCAAGAUCUCCUGAUCGAGCAAAAGAAAAGUCACAAUCCCAAAGCAUAGUUGGAGAGCCUUCUCAUUUGCAAGUACAACAAUUUAAUGUUGCGAGUAACAGGGGGAACAGACUUCCAAAGAAUUCUGAUGAUGAAACAAUAAGUAGAUAUGAUAAUGAAUACCGGCAUGGCAGCAGAGAUUUGGAUGAAAGGGACUACAGUUCUACUAAUAGGAGGCAUACAACUCGAGAGGAUAGAUACCAGAGUUCAGAUAGCCAGACCAGGUUUAGGGGUAAGAGCCGUGAAAUAUGGGAUCGAGAAAUGCAGCAUAGGGAUAGACCUCGGGGAAAGGAUUGGGAGAAGGUCCAAGAAAGAGCUAGAGAGAGAGAUAUAAACCAAAAAAGUGAGAGAGAGCAGGAAAGAGAAAGGAGAAGAGAAACAGAAAGGGAUAGUGAUAGGAGGGAUUGGGACCAGGAUAUUAUUAAGGAAAAAGCGUAUGACAAAUAUACAGGGUACCGUAAGCAUUCUGAUGCUAAUACUGGUUAUGCUGACAGGAAUUAUACAGAUUACAGGCAUCGAAAAACUGAUGAAACAGACAACUGGGGCAAAGCGAAAAGAAGUGAUGCAGAAAACUUUCAGAGUUCUAAGAUUGACAACACAGAUGAAGAUGUAGAGAAAGAGAGCAGAGAUGAACUUGAACAAGAAAACUUUCAAGAAAACACUGUGUUGCAGCCUGCAGAAAAGGAAGAGGAAGAGAUUGAUAGAAUUAAAGAGGAGAGUCGAAAGAGAAAGCAAGCUAUCCUUGAAAAAUUUAAGAGGCAACAAAAGCCCGAAGCCACAAAGGAGAUUAAUGCAAAAACAUCUCUAUCAGAUGAAGAAACUCGAAGUGCCCAGGAUGAUGAGAAAUUGUUUUCUGUGGAAAAAUUUCCUGAACAAAUAGUGCCUCCUGCCAUAAAAGUUGCUGGCUCUGGAGCAUUGGGUGGGGGUACCCCAAAGAGUGAGGGAUCUGAUGAUAUGUUCCGUGAUGAUAUAUUUGGAGACUCUCCUGCUGGAGUACGCAAAUUGGAGAAAGGAGAUUGUUUACCUGUUAAAAGUAGUGGCGUUAACGAUAAUUGGGAUGAUGCAGAGGGGUAUUACAGCUAUCGCAUUGGAGAAGUACUAGAUGGCCGAUAUGAAGUUAUUGCUGCUCAUGGUAAAGGUGUAUUUUCAACUGUAGUGCGGGCGAAGGAUCUUAAGGCUGGUUUUGGUGAUCCAGAAGAGGUGGCAAUCAAAAUAAUACGGAAUAAUGACAUAAUGUAUAAGGCAGGCCUGGAAGAGCUGGUCAUAUUAAAGAAGUUGGUUGCUGCUGACAAGGAAGACAAAAGACACUGUGUUCGCUUUAUAUCUAGCUUUAAGUUUCGAUACCAUCUUUGUUUGGUCUUUGAAUCUCUUCACAUGAAUCUUCGCGAGGUUCUUAAGAAGUUUGGGCGAAAUAUCGGACUUAAACUGACUGCAGUUAGGACAUACGCAAAGCAGCUUUUUAUUGCACUGAAGCAUCUUAGAAACUGUGGUGUACUUCACUGUGAUAUUAAGCCAGAUAAUAUGCUGGUAAAUGAUGCAAAAAAUGUGCUGAAGCUUUGUGACUUUGGUAAUGCUAUGUUUGCUGGCAAAAACGAAGUAACACCAUAUCUUGUUAGUCGCUUCUAUCGUGCCCCAGAGAUAAUUCUUGGUUUGCAGUAUGACCAUCCUAUGGAUAUUUGGUCAGUUGGGUGUUGUUUAUAUGAAAUCUAUACUGGAAAAGUUCUUUUUCCCGGUCCUUCAAACAAUGACAUGCUUCGCCUUCACAUGGAAUUGAAAGGUCCUUUUUCCAAGAAGAUGCUUAGAAAGGGAGCUUUUAUAGAUAAUCACUUUGACCAGGAUCUUAACUUCAUUGCUACAGAAGAGGAUCCUGUUACAAAGAAGACAAUUACGAGACUUGUUCUUAACAUCAAGCCAAAGGAUAUUGGUAGUAUAAUUUUCGGAUCUGCUGGAGAUGACCCAAAGAUGUUAUCCAACUUCAAGGACCUUCUUGACAAAAUAUUUGCUUUAGAUCCAGAUAAGAGGAUCACAGUGUCACAGGCACUGGCCCAUCCAUUCAUAACGGGCAAGUGAACAGUGUUGCUGAUUUUCUGACUCAAAGAAUGAUGUUGCACUAAAUAAAUGUAUAUUAUGAUCCAAUUCACAUUUAGAUCACUAAUAUUGAGAAUCUGUCUUUAUCUUCCUUUUGUUGCUCGGAAAGCUAUGGAAAGGGAUCCCUUUGCCUCUUGAAAUCUGCAGACAAGAUGGUGUUUGGCCAGGGGAACUCUUGGGUGGAGGUUCUUUCAAUCGAGUUUGUUCUAUUGAUAUCUGCCAGGGUAUGAAGCUACCAUCUCGUACUUCAGAUGCUUAAAAGGCACUCUGGGAGAAGGUACCUUGGUUGUUUUCUAGGAGUCUGUUAUGUAGUAACUUUCUUAAGUAUAGUAUGCAUAUUAUAUAUGUGCUGAAGUUAGUAGCUCUCUCUUAUAUGGAUCAUUUUGGUUGGAGAGACUGUGCAACACUUUAUUUUUUUGUUUUGCACUAUUGCAUUUGUAGGUAACAGAGUAAAUCAACCUGUAUGCUGUUUUUUAACCUGGCUUUCAAUAUCUGUUUUAAGCCAUUUCUGCUUGAUGAUUUAUGUGGUGCAUGUUCACACACUAAGACGCAGUCGCAGACACAUAUCCAAACACAUAAACAGACACAUGCAAAUAAAAAUGAUACACAUUUAUUUGAUUAAUUGUGACUCAACUACUUGACAACAACACACAUAUGAUGUGCACCUUUGAGAAGCUACUUUAUUAAUGGGUUAUUCGAUUGAUUUCCCGGAUGUGUUUAUUAUUUAAACGUGCCAUUAGGAAUGUAUGUAGACUAAUAAAUGUACAUUGUAUCUGAUCCAUGGUCAUCUGGGAUUAUCGCAUGGGAUGCGGAAUGCUGAGGAUUUCAUUUGGAGUGUGAUCUAAGUUACAUUGCCUUGCACUUCUAUUGCCUCCUGUAAGUACACUCAGUUUCUAUUGUUAAGAUAAUUCUCAUUUUUGCAUGUAUUUGUAAGUCUCAUUGUUUAUCUUCGUAGUAACUUUAUAUCGUUUAGAUGCUUCAUACAGAAAGAAAGGUUGCUGUUGUCCAUGGUUUGUUUGUUACUGCCGGCGUAUGUUGUAUAUUUUUCUCUGGAUUAUACUUCAUUGUUGUAGAACAUAAGAAAAGGGUUAAAGGAUAGAAGUAAAAAACCUAUCUUCACUUAGAAUCGAUAUUUUAAAAAUUUGAAACCUAAGAUUUUUUAAAUAUUUGUGAAUUUAUAAUAUUUAACUUUGUCAAGUAAUGAAUGUUAUAACCUCGCAAUAGAGAUCCUGAAACAUAGAUAAUAAUAUAAAAUACUACAUAAAACUCAAAUAAUUAUGUAGACUCUCUAAUAUAUUUUUAAUAUUAUUUCAUGUUCCAUUUCAUUUUCUUCUCUUCUGUUUUAAAAAGUUCGGCUCAUGAAGGACAUGCAUGAUAGCACGACCUUGAACAAUUAAUUGAAGGAUCUUACAGGAGCCAAUGUUAAUCGCAAAAUGCAACCAAUUAUAUCUAUUUUUGGUAUUGUAAUGUGGUAACCAUUAUCUCUUUCCUUCUAACCUUGCUUGGUUGAUGAUGUGAUAAGGAUAAAUAUAUCUAUCUACAUUUAUGCAACUUUUCUCAUUAGAACCAAUUACUAUUCUAUGCAUUUAGUUUCUUGUACUCAUUAUGAAUAUAUUAUGUUCUAUCUUCAAAUCUCAUAUCUAUUGGUGGCUGCCUAAUAGUCAGUGCUGAACAAUGUAGUUAAUAUUGUUAUGAAUUCUUUAAGGUUAUGAAGUUUUUUUUUUUUUCAAGUUGAAAUUUAGAGCCUCGAAGAUUAUAGGGGUUCUAUAAAAAAUGUUAUGUGAGACUUGAAGCUGCAAACUAACGAUAUACCCAACCCAAUGCUCAGUUCCUCCCUUUGCUUUGCUUAUGAAUCUUAGGCUCUGCUCUUCAUAGAAGAGUCUAAUUGUGUAUUCUUGAUUCGAAUUCUGCUUUGAUUUGAUUCAGCGAAAUUUGACAAAGGGGUGAGGCUUAAAAAGUGGAUAGAUGGAAAAUAGGUAAACAACAAGUAAUAAAAAGGUUGGCUCUGUUCAAUACCACUUGUAGGACAAGGAAUGGAUCAAACCUGUUUGCACAUUCACAGUAACUUCUCACAUUUAUAAAGUAAUCAUCAGUUCAUAUAAUUCAAAUACAAAGUUUAAAUUAUCAUCCUACAACGUGGAACAAGUAGAAUUCAUACAUAAAACUAAGGGUCUGUUUGGGAGUGCUGUUAAAAAUUGCUGUGCUGUCAGAAAAAGUGCUGGUAAAAUAAGUGCUGUUGUAGAAAUCAGAUAACUGUUUGGUAAUUUUUUGAUAUUUACUUAUUUUGAAUUAUAAUAUAAAAAAUAAUAAUGUUUUUGGUGAAGUUUUAUAAUAAAAUCUAUAACAGCAUUCUGCAAAAACUGAAAAGCAGCUUUUUCCAAAAGCAUGGGAGGACCUGCUUUUUCUAACAACAGCUUUUCAGCUAAAAGCUGCUGUUCGGAAAAGCUGAUUUUAGAUUUACCAAACAGUUUUUCACCUGCUUUUUAGCAAAAAGCUGCUGUUGCUGUCUGCAACAGCAACCCCAAACAGUACCUAAUUCUAGUAAAUAUCGUUUUCCUAAUAGAUGAUUAUUGUAUAUCCAAUUCUAAAAUUUAUCUAAUUAUAUAGAAAUAUUAAACUAAUGAAUGCUUCUGUAUAUAAAUAGUAAUAUAAAAAAUUUAACUAAUUUAAUCAUUUAUCGUUCUGCUAUAUUUUCCCUUAAGACAAGUAGUUAGUAUGUUAUUUGUCACCGGAAAUAUUAUUUCCUCCAGUGUAUUUGAUUGUGUUUUUAUAUGCUGGCAGACAUUUGUAGCAUUUCCUUAUCAUGGAUCACAUAUUUACAAUUUUUUGUUAUAUUAUGUCCUUCGCUCUCAUUUUGUUAGUACGAAUAUAAUGUGUCUUAGGUUUGAUAUUCAUUUUGGUGUGAGAACUUGUUAAUCAAAUGAAAUGCACAUCCAGAUUCUAAAAUUUAUCUAAUUAUAUACAUGAUUUGUAGUAGUGAUUUCAAAUUCCCAAGUUUAUACUAGUUAUAUAAAAAUCCAAGACAACUAAAAAACUUGUAUAAACUUGAGAAUUUGGAAUUACAACUCAAAUCAUGUCAUGUGAAAUGAAUUACACGUUACCCGGCAAUAUCUUAAAUUAUUUUGAUUAUAUCAAUCAAUUUAAUAUAAAAUUAAACAGUAUGCAGAAGGUAUGUUCUUCAACUUCUAUUUGUUAUUAUUAUAUAAUCAAGAACAUGUGUUUAAUUAGAGACAAAUCAUUGAUGUAUCCAAUAAAGUUUCCCUGUUUAUUUUUGGUAAAGGUUAGUUACGGAAAUUGAAAUACUCGUUCAGACAGACACGUGCGCGUGACCUUCUGUUAUUCUGUUACCAAGAGAAGAGAGAGAUACAUUAGGCUACAAUGCUAGGGAUAAACUUCCCAAUUAAUAUAACAGGGUAAUAAUCGUUUAUAUAUUUUUCCUAAAUCAUACAUUAGUUUGACAUGAUCAAUGACGAUUUUUUUUUUUGGUCUUGCUGCUAUUUCCAAAUAAGUAAUUUCAACUUUUUUACAUGAUCAGUGUUAAUUUUGUGAUUGAUUUCUCUGCGUAAGUUUCAUGUUUUAUUCUGUUUAUCAUUUAUAUGUCUGUAAUUUAUUUGUAAGUGUAUAUUUGAUAUUUUACAACUUGUGCGCCUCUCUCCUUCAGUAAUACUGGUGUGAGUAUUUCUUUCUUUGUUUCCACUGAAUGUUCAUUCAUCUCUUCAUUGAAAUGCCCACCAUAAGGCCCAAUUUUUAUCUUUUAGUUUGUAAUUUAUCAUCAUGUACCAGAAUGAAAUUAAACCGUGGUAUAAAUAGAUGGAAAAUAUGUUCUCUAAAUAUUUGUGAUAUUACAAAUUACAUUUUCUGUGGAACGCAAUAUCAUCAGAAAAUACUUAUUUGAAUCUAAUUAUAUCAACUAUCAAGUGGUUGAUUUUUUAUAGUGAGCAUUGUUAUGACUUAUGGGGGACUAUUAUGCGGAAUUGGCGACUUAAAAUUAUUUAUAGUAUUUUGUGAAGCAGGUUCUUCCAGGUUUGCACCCAUAACAUGCACGUAAAAGAACAUAAAAUCAUAAAUUAUGCAAAAUUUCUCGUGUCCCUGUUCAUUUGUCACUCUUGACUUUUUGCAUGUAUUGUGAGGUGCAUAAAAAUGAUAGUUUCACGAAUUAUUCUCUUAAUUUUCUUAUCUGGGUAAACACGUAGUAUAAACCUUUAUUUUAGGAAAAAAAAAUUCAAAAAAAUAGGUUGUGUAAUUAUGCUUUAAUUCACCUUACAAAACUUGCAAAAAGUCAUAAUGACAUAAAAGGAUUGAGGGAGUACCAAAUAGGGUAGACAUUGAUUUGAGCUUGAUGAAUGUUGGAUCCAUAAGGGCGCUCUGCUUUGACUUCUUCUAGACUGCAUUUUGUUGCUUAGCCAAAUGGUUAAAGGCUUGAGGGAUUGGUAUUUUUGUGUGAUCACUAUCCUGGCAUAAGCGAUGACCAUUGACGUAUGCCAAUUUUGAAACUGAAUAGAACAGAGUUGUAGAUGACGUAGAAGGUCAUUCCGUGGUGUUUCUCUUGAUACCUAGAUUGAUUUACUUGCUAUUAUGGAAUCACAAAGUAUGUUGGUGUGAAGGUAUGUCAAUAAUUGUGUUUUUGUAAAUGUCUUGUAUUUAUGGGAUGACUUGUAGUUGGUGUAAAGGUACUUGUUGGUCAGGUGCUCUGGGUAAACUUAUUCAUUGUAAUAAUUUUAUACUUCAUAUUAUAUCGGCAGUAUAUAUGUUUUAACUAUUUUUUUCUA
Daucus carota subsp. sativus is the source of this 7767-nucleotide RNA transcript. RefSeq lists it as uncharacterized. The record is from RefSeq and is a predicted model, not a curated record. The transcript has 13 exons. NCBI's taxonomy places the organism in Eukaryota, Viridiplantae, Streptophyta, Magnoliopsida, Apiales, Apiaceae.